This 406-nucleotide ribosomal RNA is filed under the name uncultured bacterium. RNAcentral describes it as "partial 16S ribosomal RNA". It matches the Rfam family "Bacterial small subunit ribosomal RNA", at positions 30 to 526 of the family's 1533-position model. The record is from RNAcentral.
AUUGAACGCUGGCGGCAGGCCUAACACAUGCAAGUCGAACGAGUGGCGCACGGGAGAGUAAUGUCUGGGAACCUGCCUGAUGGAGGGGGUUAACUACUGGAAACGGUAGCUAAUACCGCAUACCAGCAGCUGUUCCCAGAUGGGAUUAGCUUGUUGGUGGGGGAACGGCUCACCACGGAGACGAUCCCUACCUGGUCUGAGAGGAUGACCAGCCACACUGGAACUGAGACACGGUCCAGACUCCUACGGGAGGCAGCAGUGGGGAAUCUUGCACAAUGGGCGAAAGCCUGAUGCAGCCAUGCCGCGUGUAUGAAGAAGGUCUUCGGGUUGUAAAGCACUUUUAGCGGGGAGGCGUUACCCGCAGAAGAAGCACCGGCUAACUCCGUGCCAGCAGCCGCGGUAAUUC